This 4222-nucleotide long non-coding RNA is filed under the name Nicotiana tabacum (common tobacco). RNAcentral's name for it is "long non-coding RNA (NTAB_LNC011676)". The record is from RNAcentral. Lineage: Eukaryota; Viridiplantae; Streptophyta; Magnoliopsida; Solanales; Solanaceae.
UCAAAAAUGAAAUAACUGAAUUUUAUACAACUCCCCAAGGACUGGUAGUACAAAUCAUGAGUUUCUAAGAUUUAGAGUUUACAAAGCUAGUAUGAAAUAAAUACAUCAUAUGUUCGAAAUAUACAUGAACAGAUUUAUAAAUCUAAAGCUACCAAGAACAAGAGGCAGUUAUAGCCGGAAAGCAGGUACAUCUUCAAUGCCAGCUCCCGCCAUACACAGCAACAUCAACCCUAAAAUCUGCAAGCAAGGUGCAGAAGUGUAGUAUGAGUACAACCGAGCCCAUGUACUCAAUAAGUAACAAACUAAAUCUUAGGUUGAAAGUAGUGACGAGCUCGAGAGAAGGUCAGAGUCCAACACCAAAGGCCAAGAACAACUUGUAACAGUAUAAUAAAAACAGUGCAAGUAAUAACUCAAAGAUAUUAUGUUCAGCUCGUUCACAGUUAUGGAAAAUAGACAUGCUUUUCAGGUAUAAUAGUAAAACCCAAAUCUUUCACCGAAAUCACCAGAAUAUGAGUAUAUCAGGAAACUAUGAUUUUUCCCAAAACCUUUCAACAACCGAUAAGAUAUUUUAUUAUCAGAUAGCAUGAGGAAAGUACAUCUCUAUGCCUACAUGUCAAUAUGCAUGUCAAGUCAUGAAUGUCACAAUACCUUAUAGCAUGAGAAAAUGCAUCUCUAUGCCUACAUGCCAAGUAUGCAUCACAGUGAUAAGCUCAUGUACUCACACUCUCAGAGUACUCAAUCACUCUGUCUCACACUCCCACUCGUCACACUCAAUCACUCAGCAGACUCAAUCACUCAGCACUGUACGGUACCUGCGCUCACUGCUGAUAUGUCAUACUCCGGAGAGGAGGAUCCUGCCCAAGCGCUAAUAUAAGCCAACAUGGCAUGUUGCGGUGUGCAGCCUGAUCCCAUAAUUAGUCAAUAAAGCCUAAUGUGACGUGCAACCUGAUCUCGUAAAUAACUACUACGGCGUGUAGCCAGAUCCCAUAAAUGUUACUCACAAUUCGGCCUUCAGGCCCCAACUCAGUCAUCAAUCUCUCCAGUAUCUCGGGCUCACAAAUCUCAUGCCAAUCAGUCCAAACAAUGAUAACAUGAUGUAACAACAAAUGAUAACAGAGACUGAAGUAUGAUAUGCAAAUGAAUGAAUAUGAUUGAGUAUAUAAUUACAAUUUAAGCAAAUAAUUCAAAAGUAGAGAUGACCUCAGUGGGUCCCAACAUAAUAAGUAUAUAGCCUAAACAUGAUUCACAGCUCAAAAUCAAACAAGUUAACAAGAUAUAACAGCAAAACAAGUCCGAUCAUAGUCUAAUAGUCAACUAUAAUCAUGAUUUUUCCGAUGCACGCCCACACCCUCGUCACCUAGCAUGUGCGUCACCGUAAUACAUCUCUUAUAACAUAGUUCCCAGAAAUGAAUCGAUGUUCAACCAAACUAAUUUCACUCAAAUCCGACUCUGAAUCGAUGUUCAAAGCUCAAAAAUUCACUUUAGGAAAGUUUAGACAAAAUUCCCCAAUUUUACUUUAAAAUUUAUAAUCCAAAUGCUAAAAUCGAAGAUAGGUUCAUGAAAUAUAAUCAAAAGCAUUUGCCUUCCUUGCUGGAUGUGGACUGUAAUUCAUCCUCAACUAGAUAGAAGGACUUCAUCUUUCUUCUUCUUCCUGAAAUGAAAUGAAGAGAAAGAAGGUGCCCGGCCCAAAAGACUGGUGAAAAAAGCUCUUUUUUUUGGUCAAGACCUUUUGUUGAACUCGAGUAGAAAAUACUUACCCAGUCCAUAUGGUAAAAAUCGCCUCCAAAAUCGCUCAAAUCCGAGCUAUAUAGCUCAAAAUAUGAUAAAAUGACCAAGACCUUCGAAAUAGAGUACUUUAUACACUGUUCCAGAGGUACCCUUUGCGAUCGUGGUCACUAACCUCGCGAUCGUGAUUCAAUAAUUUUCUAGCACACAUUUUACCCUUCGCGAUCACGUCCAUUUCCCCGCGAUCGCGAUAAAUAAAUUUCCAUUACCAUUCCCAAACUCUUCUCAGACAUCCUAUAGUACAUCAACUAUAACUUUUUGUACAAAACUCCAAAUGACAAACUAUUUGAUUCUCUGAAAACUAAACACAAAGGGCUACAACUUUUAAUUUUGGAUCAUCUCCAAAUUCCUUAUAUAUUGCAAGAUAUAAGCUUUCAAAAUCGAGUGAGUGACAACAUAAUUUUCUUCUACGCGAUCGCGAAAAGGCUUCCACGAUCACCAUUCACAGUGCCAAAAAUAGCAAUUUGCUCUUCGCGAACGCGGCCCAAAGUCCACGAUCGUGAUGCAUACCCCUAUGGCCAAAAAUUAACAACUAAAAAUGGCCUAGAAAUGGUCCGAAACCACCCCGAAACUCACCCGAGCCCUUCGAGACCCCGUCCGAACAUACCAACAAGUCUCAAAACAUAUUACGGACCUACUCGAGGCAUCAAAUCACACAUAUUAACAUCAAAAUCACGAAUCGUCAAUCAAGAUCAAUCUCUUAAGUUCAUAAAUUUCAAACUUCGAACCAAGCGUCCGAUUCAAGCCUAACCAAUCCGGAAUGAAUUCAAAUUUUGCAUACAAGUUUCAAAUGACAUACGAACCUAUUCCAACUCCCGGAACAACAAUAUGAACCCGAUAACAUCGAAGUCAACUCCUGGUCAAACUUACAAACAUUCCAAAUCUUUAAAUUUUUAACUUUUGCCAAAUAAUGUUGAAACCUUCUAGAAACACCCGAAUGCAAAUUCGGGCAUACGCCCAAGUCCAAAAUCGCCGUCCGGACCUAACGGAACCAUCAAAACUUCAUUCCGGGGUCAAGUAUACAAAUGUCAAACUUGAUCAACUCUUCCAACUUAAAGCUUCAAACAUAAAAUUUAUUCUUCCAAACUAAUUCUGAAUCACCCAAAGACCGAAACCGACGAUACACACAAGUCAUAAUACAUCAUACGGAGCUACUCAUGCCCUCAAACCACCGAGCGAAGUGCAAAUACUUAAAACGACCGGUCGGGUCGUUACAUGAAGAAGCAAAACAGGGCGAAAAAAUAUAGUACAUGUUUAUUAGCUCAUGGACGUAAAACAAAAAUAAAGAAAGUCAUCAAAAUCACAAAAUGUAGAGUCCCGUAUGCACAAAGUGAAGAAUGAAAUUACUUCACCGUUAAUAACAACAAAAAGGAAAAACUAAACGCAAACUAUAAGAAUAAAUGAAUAUCCUAUUCUUAAUAAUGACUAAAGGCAUUACGUUGAUACCCAAAAUUUCGCUAAAUUUCUAAUGAUGUUCAAUACAUAAAAGCAUUAUAGGAAAGCUAGAAAAGGAAGGAGGGUAUCUUAAAAUUGAGUAAGACAUACAAAAAGAUAUGAGAAAAUGUUUAUUUGUAAAAAAUAAAACUUAUGGUGCAACCUUGAGAUGAAUUUGGAACAAACAUAAUUGAAGUUUACCUGGAUGGAGGCAAAAUGCUUUUGUUAAUUAAUAGUUCAGAUGAAACUUUAUUUCUAACCAUUUCAGCACACAACUUUAUAGCUUUAUCAUGCAUCUGCGGCCACAUAAACAAUUAGCGUAGAUGACAAACUCAACAUAAUAAUAUUCCAAAUUCGCUAGAACUAUCAUCUAAAAAACUCGGUCGUGCUUUGCAAUAGUUUUUAUCACCUUGCCGUCAUGAAAUGUUACUGUCAAAAGUUUCAACUAUUGUUAAAUCAAAAUUCACAAUUUCUAAGAAUUGCCAUACUUUUUCCCUUGAUGACCUAAAAGGAAAAAAAACAAAAACAAAAAUCCUGUUUUUUUACCUUACAGUCAUGAAACGUAACGUCAAAAGGUCCUACUAUUGUUAAAAUAAAAUCGACAAAUUUGGAGAAUUACCAUACUUUGUCCCUUGAUGACCUCAAAAAACAAAAAUCCUCUCUUUCAUAUUGCCGCCAGCCUUGCUUUUCCCUUUUCAUUGCCCAUUUAAUCCAAAUAGCCUGAAAGAGAGGAAAAGACGUAAUUAUUAUUUUUUUAACGGAAAAGGCAUAACUGUUAAAAAACCGAAGAAGAAGAAGAAGAAACGUCACAAGUGUAAUUAAGAGUUACUAAUAUAUAGCACAUAAAUAGAUAAAUAUGGGGAAAAUGGCAAAAAAGGAGAAAAAAGAUAAAGAGGGUUUAGUUUUCAUAGCCACGUCACCGUCCUUAAGGCAGCAUUCAUAAAUAUAUAUAUAUAUAUAUAUAUAUAUAUAUAUAUACUAGAUAAGUUUAGUCCGUGCAAAA